GACGAACGCUGGCGGCGUGCUUAACACAUGCAAGUCGAGCGGUAAGGCCCUUUCGGGGGUACACGAGCGGCGAACGGGUGAGUAACACGUGGGUGACCUGCCUCAGCUCUGGGAUAAGCCUGGGAAACUGGGUCUAAUACCGGAUAUGACUCCAUGACGCAUGUUGUGGGGUGAAAGCCUUGUGCGGCUGAGGAUGGGCCCGCGGCCUAUCCAGCUUGUUGGUGGGGUGAUGGCCUACCAAGGCGACGACGGGUAGCCGGCCUGAGAGGGCGACCGGCCACACUGGGGACUGAGACACGGCCCAGACUCCUACGGGAGGCAGCAGUGGGGAAUCUUGCGCAAUGGGCGAAAGCCUGACGCAAGCGACGCCGCGUGAGGGAUGACGGCCUGG
This 391-nucleotide ribosomal RNA is filed under the name uncultured bacterium. RNAcentral describes it as "bacterial SSU rRNA". It matches the Rfam family "Bacterial small subunit ribosomal RNA", at positions 28 to 419 of the family's 1533-position model. The record is from RNAcentral.